This is a long non-coding RNA of Lolium perenne, 900 nucleotides long. RefSeq lists it as uncharacterized. NCBI's taxonomy places the organism in Eukaryota, Viridiplantae, Streptophyta, Magnoliopsida, Poales, Poaceae. The record is from RefSeq and is a predicted model, not a curated record.
UCAGGUCAGAAUGCCACCACCAUCUACUUUAGCACCCUUGUGCAUUAGUAUCACUAUGCCUAAAAUUCUAUAUCUUUUUAGGCCACCAUUUUAGUAAUUUGUGAGGCACUCAACCUUGGGUGUCAUGCAUGUGUAGAAAUGCUCUCUUGUUGAUCACAUGCGCAUGGCCAAAAAUAUGUGGCCGGCCAUGCCAUGGCACACAUGCAUCAUGCCUCUCCAUUUCCCUCUCUCUCACAUAAUUAUUCCACCUUGGGAAGCCUCUCACUUUUUGUCCCUUCCCCAUGCCACUAAUAAUUUCAGCUUUAGUCAAAUUCUUCCCCCACAAGCCAGCCUCCCAACUAACACAAUCAAUGAAGAGGCUACCUCCCAACCAACCCAAUCAAUGAGGAGGCAGCCCACCCCCUCUCCCUCUAUAUAAAGGGGCUUGGCAGCCCACCCCCUCCUCACUUGCUCUCACUUUUCCACUCCCCACUCUCUCCUCCACUCCCACACACUCUCCUCCUACCUCUCCCCACGAAAUUGGUGCUCCUCCUAGCUUCAUGGCCGGCCAUGGCCAUGGAAAGCUCACCAAGAUGCAGCUCCUUCCUCCCUCAAGCUCAUCCUCACCAUGAGAGCCUCCCCCUCCAUCUUCUCCACAACCUUAGAUGGUUUAAUCUCCUCUUCUUCUCCCUCCAUUGCUAAGAUUGGAUCUUGAUGCAGGUGCAUGUUGGUCCAAGCAUGGAGAAGGUUGAGCUAUCCUCAGAUCUGAAGUUCUUGAGCAAAAUCCAAAUCGAGUGGUUCAAAGUUCUGCAGAUAGGUAUUGAAAAUAUCUACAACUUGGCGUUGGUCUCAUCCUCAAAUUCGUUACGGAUUUUGCAUGAUAAAUAAAGUUCUGCAAACAUGCAGAAUCAUUGUUUGUUA